GGCGACAGCGAGUACCACUUCGCCUGGCUCCACGACGGCGGCCGGACCUACGACUGGCAGGGCGCCAACAGCUACUGCUCGAGCCUCGGCCGCGGCUGGAAGGGCAUCAGCAUCGAGACCAGGGAGGAGAACGACUUCGUCACCGAUGUGAUCGAACACCACGAGCUGCCGUGGGUCUGGACCGGAGGCCAACGCAGGGGACGCGACUUCGUGUGGCCUUCAGGAGCCCGUUUCGUGGGUCUGAACUGGUCUCACACCGGCGGG
This is a non-coding RNA of Penaeus vannamei (Pacific white shrimp), 264 nucleotides long. Lineage: Eukaryota; Metazoa; Arthropoda; Malacostraca; Decapoda; Penaeidae. The record is from RefSeq and is a predicted model, not a curated record.